GAUGAGCGCUAGCGACAGGCUUAACACAUGCAAGUCGAGGGGCAGCGGGGGUAGCAAUACCAGCCGGCGACCGGCGCACGGGUGAGUAACGCGUAUGAAACUUACCUAUCAGAGGGGGAUAACCAGGCGAAAGUCGGACUAAUACCGCAUGAAGCAGGGGCCCCGCAUGGGGAUAUUUGCUAAAGAUUCAUCGCUGAUAGAUAGGCAUGCGUUCCAUUCGGUCGGUGGCGGGGUAACGGGCCACCAAACCGACGAUCGGUAUGGGUUCUCAGAGGAAGGUCCCCCACAUUGGUACUGAGACACGGACCAAACUCCUACGGGAGGCAGCAGUGAGGAAUAUUGGGCAAUGGGCGCGAGCCUUAACCAGCCAAGUCGCGUGAGGGAUGAAGGUUCUAUGGAUCUUAAACCUCUUUUAUAAGGGAAUAAAGUGCGGGACGUGUCCUGUUUUGUAUGUACCUUAUGAAUAAGGAUCGGCUAACUCCGUGCCAGCCGCCGCAGUAA
This 501-nucleotide ribosomal RNA is filed under the name uncultured bacterium. RNAcentral's name for it is "partial 16S ribosomal RNA". It matches the Rfam family "Bacterial small subunit ribosomal RNA", at positions 28 to 523 of the family's 1533-position model. The record is from RNAcentral.